GACGAACGCUGGCGGCGUGCUUAACACAUGCAAGUCGAGCGGUAAGGCCUCUUCGGGGGUACACGAGCGGCGAACGGGUGAGUAACACGUGGGUGACCUGCCCUUAGCUCUGGGAUAAGUCUGGGAAACUGGGUCUAAUACCGGAUACGACCUUUCCUCGCAUCGGGUUUGGUGGAAAGUUUUGUCGGCUGGGGAUGGGCCGGCGGCCUAUCAGCUUGUUGGUGGGGUGAUGGCCUACCAAGGCGACGAUGGGUAGCCGGCCUGGGAGGGCGACCGGCCACGCUGGGAGUGAGGCACGGGCCUGACACCUACGGGAGGCGGCGGUAGGGAAUAUUGCGGAAUGGGCGGAAGCCUGACGCAGCGACGCCGCGUGAGGGAUGACUGCCUGCGGGAAGUAUACCUCUGUCGACCCGGACGAAUUUUGACGGUAGGGGUAGAAGAAGCACCGGCCAACUACGUG
Molecule: ribosomal RNA, 460 nt
Filed under: uncultured bacterium
Lineage: Bacteria
Description: partial 16S ribosomal RNA
Rfam family: Bacterial small subunit ribosomal RNA
Source: RNAcentral